RNAcentral lists this ribosomal RNA (516 nucleotides) under fungal sp. 1b-Bj1. RNAcentral describes it as "SSU rRNA". It matches the Rfam family "Eukaryotic small subunit ribosomal RNA", at positions 214 to 730 of the family's 1831-position model. Lineage: Eukaryota; Fungi. The record is from RNAcentral.
AUAAAAAACCAACGCCCUUCGGGGCUUCUUGGUGAUUCAUGAUAACUUUACGGAUCGCAUGGCCUUGCGCCGGCGACGGUUCAUUCAAAUUUCUGCCCUAUCAACUUUCGAUGGUAAGGUAUUGGCUUACCAUGGUUUCAACGGGUAACGGGGAAUUAGGGUUCGAUUCCGGAGAGGGAGCCUGAGAAACGGCUACCACAUCCAAGGAAGGCAGCAGGCGCGCAAAUUACCCAAUCCCGAUACGGGGAGGUAGUGACAAUAAAUACUGAUACAGGGCUCUUUUGGGUCUUGUAAUUGGAAUGAGUACAAUUUAAACCUCUUAACGAGGAACAAUUGGAGGGCAAGUCUGGUGCCAGCAGCCGCGGUAAUUCCAGCUCCAAUAGCGUAUAUUAAAGUUGUUGCAGUUAAAAAGCUCGUAGUUGAACCUUGGGCCUGGCUGGCAGGUCCGCCUCACCGCGUGUACUUGUCCGGCCGGGUCUUCCUUCUGGAGAACCUCAUGCCCUUCACUGGGCGUGU